GAUGAGGAAGCUUGCUUCCAAAUCCUAGCGGCGGACGGGUGAGUAACGCGUGGGCAACCUACCCUAUGCAGGGGGAUAACAUUGGGAAACCAGUGCUAAUACCGCAUAAAGCCGAGAAGGGGCAUCCCUUCAUGGUCAAAGAACUUCGGCAUAGGAUGGGCCCGCGUCUGAUUAGUUAGUUGGUAAGGUAAAGGCUUACCAAGACGAUGAUCAGUAGCCGACCUGAGAGGGUGACCGGCCACACUGGAACUGAGACACGGUCCAGACUCCUACGGGAGGCAGCAGUGGGGAAUAUUGCACAAUGGGGGAAACCCUGAUGCAGCAACGCCGCGUGAGCGAAGAAGGCCUUCGGGUCGUAAAGCUCUGUCCUAAGGGAAGAUAAUGACGGUACCUUAGGAGGAAGCCCCGGCUAACUACGUGCCAUCAGCCGCGGUAAUACGUAGGGGGCAAGCGUUAUCCGGAAUCACUGGGCGUAAAGGGUGCGUAGGCGGCCAAACAAGUCAGGGGUGAAAGGCUACGGCUCAACCGUAGUAAGCCUUUGAAACUGUUUGGCUUGAGUGCAGGAGAGGAGAGUGGAAUUCCUAGUGUAGCGGUGAAAUGCGUAGAUAUUAGGAGGAACACCAGUGGCGAAGGCGACUCUCUGGACUGUAACUGACGCUGAGGCACGAAAGCGUGGGGAGCAAACAGGAUUAGAUACCCUGGUAGUCCACGCCGUAAACGAUGAGUGCUAGGUGUUGGAGGGAGACCUUCAGUGCCGACGCUAACGCAUUAAGCACUCCGCCUGGGGAGUACGCUCGCAA
RNAcentral lists this ribosomal RNA (800 nucleotides) under uncultured Bacillota bacterium. Its description in RNAcentral is "bacterial SSU rRNA". It matches the Rfam family "Bacterial small subunit ribosomal RNA", at positions 69 to 891 of the family's 1533-position model. Lineage: Bacteria; Bacillati; Bacillota. The record is from RNAcentral.